This 292-nucleotide ribosomal RNA is filed under the name uncultured bacterium. RNAcentral describes it as "partial 16S ribosomal RNA". It matches the Rfam family "Bacterial small subunit ribosomal RNA", at positions 505 to 796 of the family's 1533-position model. The record is from RNAcentral.
GUGUCAGCCGCCGCGGUAAUACAGAGGUGGCAAGCGUUGUUCGGAAUUACUGGGCGUAAAGGGCGAGUAGGUGGCCAUCUAAGUCAGACGUGAAAUCCCCCGGCUUAACCUGGGAACUGCGUCUGAUACUGGACGGCUUGAGUAUGGGAGAGGAACGUAGAAUUCCAGGUGUAGCGGUGAAAUGCGUAGAUAUCUGGAGGAAUACCGGUGGCGAAGGCGGCGUUCUGGACCAUUACUGACACUGAAUCGCGAAAGCUAGGGGAGCAAACGGGAUUAGAUACCCCUGUAGUCC